This 1038-nucleotide ribosomal RNA is filed under the name Salmonella enterica subsp. enterica serovar Corvallis. RNAcentral describes it as "bacterial SSU rRNA". It matches the Rfam family "Bacterial small subunit ribosomal RNA", at positions 89 to 1123 of the family's 1533-position model. Lineage: Bacteria; Pseudomonadati; Pseudomonadota; Gammaproteobacteria; Enterobacterales; Enterobacteriaceae. The record is from RNAcentral.
UGACGAGUGGCGGACGGGUGAGUAAUGUCUGGGAAACUGCCUGAUGGAGGGGGAUAACUACUGGAAACGGUGGCUAAUACCGCAUAACGUCGCAAGACCAAAGAGGGGGACCUUCGGGCCUCUUGCCAUCAGAUGUGCCCAGAUGGGAUUAGCUUGUUGGUGAGGUAACGGCUCACCAAGGCGACGAUCCCUAGCUGGUCUGAGAGGAUGACCAGCCACACUGGAACUGAGACACGGUCCAGACUCCUACGGGAGGCAGCAGUGGGGAAUAUUGCACAAUGGGCGCAAGCCUGAUGCAGCCAUGCCGCGUGUAUGAAGAAGGCCUUCGGGUUGUAAAGUACUUUCAGCGGGGAGGAAGGUGUUGUGGUUAAUAACCACAGCAAUUGACGUUACCCGCAGAAGAAGCACCGGCUAACUCCGUGCCAGCAGCCGCGGUAAUACGGAGGGUGCAAGCGUUAAUCGGAAUUACUGGGCGUAAAGCGCACGCAGGCGGUCUGUCAAGUCGGAUGUGAAAUCCCCGGGCUCAACCUGGGAACUGCAUUCGAAACUGGCAGGCUUGAGUCUUGUAGAGGGGGGUAGAAUUCCAGGUGUAGCGGUGAAAUGCGUAGAGAUCUGGAGGAAUACCGGUGGCGAAGGCGGCCCCCUGGACAAAGACUGACGCUCAGGUGCGAAAGCGUGGGGAGCAAACAGGAUUAGAUACCCUGGUAGUCCACGCCGUAAACGAUGUCUACUUGGAGGUUGUGCCCUUGAGGCGUGGCUUCCGGAGCUAACGCGUUAAGUAGACCGCCUGGGGAGUACGGCCGCAAGGUUAAAACUCAAAUGAAUUGACGGGGGCCCGCACAAGCGGUGGAGCAUGUGGUUUAAUUCGAUGCAACGCGAAGAACCUUACCUGGUCUUGACAUCCACAGAACUUUCCAGAGAUGGACUGGUGCCUUCGGGAACUGUGAGACAGGUGCUGCAUGGCUGUCGUCAGCUCGUGUUGUGAAAUGUUGGGUUAAGUCCCGCAACGAGCGCAACCCUUAUCCUUUGUUGCCAGCG